UAAUACGGAGGGUGCAAGCGUUAAUCGGAAUUACUGGGCGUAAAGCGCACGCAGGCGGUUUGUUAAGUCAGAUGUGAAAUCCCCGGGCUCAACCUGGGAACUGCAUUUGAAACUGGCAAGCUAGAGUCUCGUAGAGGGGGGUAGAGUUCCAGGUGUAGCGGUGAAAUGCGUAGAGAUCUGGAGGAAUACCGGUGGCGAAGGCGGCCCCCUGGACGAAGACUGACGCUCAGGUGCGAAAGCGUGGGGAGCAAACAGGAUUAGAUACCCUGGUAGUCCACGCUGUAAACGAUGUCGAUUUGGAGGUUGUGCCCUUGAGGCGUGGCUUCCGGAGCUAACGCGUUAAAUCGACCGCCUGGGGAGUACGGCCGCAAGGUU
This 375-nucleotide ribosomal RNA is filed under the name uncultured Serratia sp. RNAcentral describes it as "bacterial SSU rRNA". It matches the Rfam family "Bacterial small subunit ribosomal RNA", at positions 521 to 895 of the family's 1533-position model. Lineage: Bacteria; Pseudomonadati; Pseudomonadota; Gammaproteobacteria; Enterobacterales; Yersiniaceae. The record is from RNAcentral.